Apis dorsata (giant honeybee) is the source of this 598-nucleotide long non-coding RNA. RefSeq lists it as uncharacterized. The record is from RefSeq and is a predicted model, not a curated record. The transcript is spliced from 2 exons. Lineage: Eukaryota; Metazoa; Arthropoda; Insecta; Hymenoptera; Apidae.
GAGGAGUUCUCGCGUUUUCCACAUGGCACACGACCCAAUUCGUCGAUCUUACAUAACCGACAACAUUGGAUCAUUCAUGCUCAGCUGAUCGUAAUACAUGCGCGCUGCCUCCAAUUAAAUGCGCGAUCACCGUGUCACCGAUGCAGUUGACAUAAGAUUUUACAAAGUAAACAGAAUAAGCUUAAGACAAAGCGUAUACGGUUCGAUUUAAUUAAUCGACCGAUAACAGAGGACCCGGUACACAAAGAAUUUGGCCUUGGCCUACUGUUUCACCAUUCGUUCGAGAAAUGAAAGAACGAAUCAUCGUCGCAAAAGUCGAGCGUGAGCGUCGAUAGUCCAUUGCACAACGGUAGAAACGUGCCUACGAAUGUUCUUUACCGGCUGGUAGGCUUUAAUGGAGCGAUUCGUACCAUUUGUGAAUCAUGAUUAACACGAUUCGGUAUGCUCGACAUUGUGUCCCGUUUUUCCCACCAGCUGAUGGAUCGCGUCUAGAGGCCUCCUGACCUACAUUAUUUUUCGCAACUCGACCCAUCUUUUUGUCAUUCAGUUCUUAUAUAUUAUUACAUUUAUUCGAGCGAAAGAAUGUUGGGAAAAAAUA